UCUCUUGUAAGCACCGCACUGUAGGCUCUUGUAUUGUCCAGUCUGCCACUCUGGGUCUUUUGAUGAGAGCAUUUAGUCCACUGGCAUUUAAGGUAAUUAUUGAUAGAUAUGUGUUUAUUGCCAUUUUAAGCCUUGUUUUCCAAUAUAUGCGUUAUUUCUUCUUUGCUCUCCUUCUU
This is a non-coding RNA of Vicugna pacos (alpaca), 176 nucleotides long. Lineage: Eukaryota; Metazoa; Chordata; Mammalia; Artiodactyla; Camelidae. The record is from RefSeq and is a predicted model, not a curated record.